AGUGAACGCUGGCGGCGUGCCUAAUACAUGCAAGUCGAACGGAGAUUAAGUAGCUUGCUACUUAUUAUUAGUGGCGCACGGGUGAGUAUUAUAUAGCUAACUUGCCCAUUACUGAGGGACAACAGUUGGAAACGACUGAUCAUAUAUCAUAUACUGUAUUUAUCUACGUAGAUACGGGAAAGUUUUUCGGUAUUGGAUAGGGCUAUAUCGUAUCAGCUAGUUGGUAAGGUAAUGGCUUACCAAGGCUAUGACGCGUCACUGGUCUGAGAGGAUGAUCAGUCACACUGGAACUGAGACACGGUCCAGACUCCUACGGGAGGCAGCAGUAGGGAAUAUUGCUCAAUGGGGGAAACCCUGAAGCAGCAACGCCGCGUGGAGGAUGACACUUUUCGGAGCAUAAACUCCUUUUCUUGGGAAAGAAUUAUGACGGUACCCAAGGAAUAAGCACCGGCUAACUCCGUG
RNAcentral lists this ribosomal RNA (462 nucleotides) under uncultured bacterium. RNAcentral describes it as "partial 16S ribosomal RNA". It matches the Rfam family "Bacterial small subunit ribosomal RNA", at positions 29 to 507 of the family's 1533-position model. The record is from RNAcentral.